AGUGAACGCUGGCGGUAGGCCUAACACAUGCAAGUCGAACGGCAGCACAGUAAGAGCUUGCUCUUACGGGUGGCGAGUGGCGGACGGGUGAGGAAUACAUCGGAAUCUACUUUUUCGUGGGGGAUAACGUAGGGAAACUUACGCUAAUACCGCAUACGACCUACGGGUGAAAGCAGGGGAUCUUCGGACCUUGCGCGAUUGAAUGAGCCGAUGUCGGAUUAGCUAGUUGGCGGGGUAAAGGCCCACCAAGGCGACGAUCCGUAGCUGGUCUGAGAGGAUGAUCAGCCACACUGGAACUGAGACACGGUCCAGACCCCUACGGGAGGCAGCAGUGGGGAAUAUUGGACAAUGGGCGCAAGCCUGAUCCAGCCAUACCGCGUGGGUGAAGAAGGCCCUCGGGUUGUAAAGCCCUUUUGUUGGGAAAGAAAAGCAGCAGGUUAAUACCCCGCUGUUCUGACGGUACCCAAAGAAUAAGCACCGGCUAACUUCGUG
Molecule: ribosomal RNA, 492 nt
Filed under: uncultured bacterium
Lineage: Bacteria
Description: partial 16S ribosomal RNA
Rfam family: Bacterial small subunit ribosomal RNA
Source: RNAcentral